ACUCACAACCAUCUGGUGAAUAAAGGUGAGAGCUGUCAAACCAUGUAAUGUCAUUUAUAUAAAGGAAUAUCAUUAGCUCUAGAUGUGUCUGAAUAACUAGAUAUUAUUGUGUGAAAAAAUAUUAUUUAACAUCAUAUUUUUAUAUGUAUAUAUUCAAUAUAGUGCUUAGGUAUAACUAGUACUUACUAGUUUAAAUAACGUUGGGGUUCUUUUGGUAGGGGCAAAGGCCAACAAAUUAAUCCCCAAAUCAGGAUUGAUCUCAAUAUAAAUGAAUCAUAAUAGUGACAAAUUUCAUAAAUUAGAUAUCUUGUGUUGAGUUCUUGACCCUUACAGGAAGUAAAAGUCCAAAUGUGAAUUUUCUAUUGCUUUUUUGUGGACAGACAAAGUCAGGGCUUCUCUCUGCCCUUCCCCUCUUGAGGCUGCCAGAACACACACACACACACACACACACACACACACACACACACACACACACACACACACACACAGCAGCAGCAGCAGCACUUACUUCAGUUUUCGCCAGCGAGCAAGCAAAGCAUCUCCUUCUCGUCUGCUGUUCCUCUUCCCACUUCUCUCCUCUCGUCUCAUCUCGUCUUGCCUCCUUGGAAAAUUAAGAUGCGGCCAAGAAACUGGAAAGAAUUAAAAAAAAGAAUAACCUUGGAUUGUUAGCUUGGAUGAAAAGAGAACCUUAACGCGUUGUGAGACGCAGCAGCAGAUGUCAUUUCAUCAAUGAUGUGAUUUCAGGCCUGUGGAUGCUCAGCUGCAGAGAUCAGAAAGCGAGAGAGAUAUACAGACAGAGGAAAAGUAAAAGAGAGAAAAUGAGAGAGAUUCAGCAAACAAUUACAGCUCUCUGAAACGUUUAGCUCAUUGGUACCUCGUGUUCAUUUCUCCCUUCUGGAAUCUUAAAUGUACUGUGGAUUAGCGCUCACUCUGAUCCAUCAUCAUCAUCAUCAUCAGUCAGCGAGAGAGAAAAUACAGGAGAACUAAGAUUUUAGAUUUCCUGUUUUGGAGUACACCACAGACCUCAGCUUUUGGAACAUUACGAGGAAUUUCACAUAAUGCAAAAAAACUUUCGAAUAAGAGUCAUUUAUCACUUUUAUUCCCCAAGAUGUUGUUCCUCUUCAGACCUUGUAAAUUUUCUCCAUAGAUGCUUGGAUGGUAAGAAGUCAAGUUUGUCAGGGGUGAGGUAAGAGUGAGCUUUAACCUGUUCCCCUUUACCCUUUUUCAUUUCCAUUUUUAAAGCAGCAGUAAGAAACUUUGUGUCAAUAAGAUGUUGCUCAUAUUUUCAUGCUAAUGACUAUGUGUAAGCAAGAAGCUAAAAGGGGUGGGGCUUAAUACAUUUUUAAUCACCCAUGUGUUCCAAGAAUGUAUUUCUCUUUUAAUUGUAUUUUGCCUAAAUAUUGGUUAGGAUGAGUAUUUCUUCUUUGUGUAUUUUCAGCAUAUAUAUGUUACUUUAUUUGUGUUUUAUUUUACCUCACAUAUUUACUCAGUGUUUAACUGAAUAUUGUCUCAGUAUGUAUUACAUUGGAGUAUUUAUCAUUUCAUCUGGGUGUAUGAACUGUACAUAAUAUUUCACCUGAGUAUUUCUUUGUGUGUUUUAAUAUUUCACCUAAGCAUUGUCUCAGUAUUUAUUGCUUUACAUGAGUAUUCUGGCUCUGCCACUGUCAAUUGGUCAAAUAUAUUUUCUCAUGUAUGCAUCUCCGUGUUAUUUAUCCUCAUAUUACUAAUAAAAUAUUUCUUAAUUGU
This is a long non-coding RNA of Silurus meridionalis, 1746 nucleotides long. RefSeq lists it as uncharacterized. The record is from RefSeq and is a predicted model, not a curated record. NCBI's taxonomy places the organism in Eukaryota, Metazoa, Chordata, Actinopteri, Siluriformes, Siluridae. The transcript has 2 exons.